AGGAGGAACAGCCCCAGUGGCGGGGCAGCUCUGGAGCCCUGGAUUCAGCCCCCGCAGGAACUCCGUCUGCAGGGCCUGGAGGCUCCGGGGCGGG
Canis lupus familiaris (dog) is the source of this 94-nucleotide non-coding RNA. Lineage: Eukaryota; Metazoa; Chordata; Mammalia; Carnivora; Canidae. The record is from Rfam.